This 468-nucleotide ribosomal RNA is filed under the name uncultured bacterium. RNAcentral describes it as "partial 16S ribosomal RNA". It matches the Rfam family "Bacterial small subunit ribosomal RNA", at positions 28 to 507 of the family's 1533-position model. The record is from RNAcentral.
GACGAACGCUGGCGGCGUGCUUAACACAUGCAAGUCGAACGGAAAGGCCAUGCUUUUGCGGCGUGCUCGAGUGGCGAACGGGUGAGUAACACGUGAGUAACCUGUCCUUGACUUUGGGAUAACUUUAGGAAACUGGGGCUAAUAUCGGAUAGGAGCUCCUGCUGCACGGUGGGGGUUGGAAAGUUUCGGCGGUUGGGGAUGGACUCGCGGCUUAUCAGCUUGUUGGUGGGGUAGUGGCUUACCAAGGCUUUGACGGGUAGCCGGCCUGAGAGGGUGACCGGCCACCUUGGGACUGAGAUACGGACCAGACUCCUACGUGAGGCAGCGGUGGGGAAUAUUGCACAAUAGGCGGAAGCCUGAGACGGCAACGCCGCGUGCGGGAUGACGGCCUUCGGGUUGUAAACCACUUUCGCCGGUGACGAGGCGUGAGUGACGGUAAUGGGUAAAGAAGCACCGGCUAACUACGUG